AAGUAGCAUAAUCAAGGUAACAAUUUAUUUAUGAAUCAUCAUUCAAGCAUAGAUCCAGCUACUCCAAGGUGUAGAGUCAUUAAUAGUAAUAAUAAAUAGCCAACACAAACACCUAUGUGUAUCUAUCUUGUCAUUUAAUGCUUGCAAAAACCUUGUAAGAUAAGUAUAGUCUUAUUAUCUCUAUAUUCCAGAUAAGGAAGUUGAAAUACAAAGAGGCAAAAUAAAGAAUAUAGAAUUAUUCAAUGAGAAUAAGUUGAAGGAAUUGAUGGAGCAUAAGUCUACUUGAAAGCACCAUUCAUUUGCUGGGAAUUUGGCUGGGACAAUUGCAAGCUCUGAGCUCUCAUCUCUGGAGGCUUCCUGCAUCAGGCAGCACUCCUGGAAGCGACAACCUUAAAGAUACUCUUUCUACUGAAUCUCUUUUAUGAGCCCAAACUUUCUCACAUAUUUUGUCAUUUCACUCUUUUGAUGUCCUCUGAGAAUGAUGGGCCUAUGGCUAUUUCCAUUUUAUGGAUGAAGCACUUGAGGUCAGACAGAAUUAUUAAGUUCACAUAAGUAUCCCCAAAGGCUUCAUAAUCUAGGCAGGGAGACAAAUGCAUUUUUAAAAAAAUGAAUAGCUGCAAUCCAACUAAUAACUAAGCCCUGUGAGUGUAUCCCAGAGCAAAGUAUUGACUCAUCCUGACAAAGCCAUGCUGUGGUAGGAGGGUGUAGAAAAAGGGUAUGGAAAAGUGCCACAGAGUAGUAUUUGCGCUGCGUUGCAAGGAAAAGGAGGUAUCCUCGCAGGUGCGGAGAGUAGGAGAGGGCAUUCAAAGCAGACCAGGAGCAAUGGUUCUGUGUACUAGUAGUAGAUAUAAGUUGGACUAUUCUGGAAAUAUGUACUGCCAAAUGUGGCAAGAGCCUUGGGUACUAGAAGGAGCUGUGAGAGUAGGGAAUGACUCAGGAUCAGAUUCUGGAGGACCUGAAAUUGCUGCUAAAGAGCUUGGAUGGUAUCCCAGAAAUGACAGGAAACUUAUCAAGCCCUGGAAGAUGGAGAUCCAAGCUUCACCAGGCCAGCACCCAGAUGGAGGUCUUCCACUAAGGCUGAGGCACAGGGUCGAGCCUGGCUGUCUCCUUCCCCAACUUGCACACUUCUACAGCUGACCCUCGUGAGGCAGGGUGGACAUCAAAGGCUGAGGGCACUGGGAGAGGACUGCAGCCCCUUCAUUGGUCAGGCCCCAUCAAAGGCGCCUGUGCCAGGCUCUGCUCCACUCCAAACCCGGGCAGAUCAAAGAGCCCUGUACAGAAGUUGGGUUUCUGGGCAGCCCCAAUUCUGAUCAUCAAUUGUCACUUUGGCAGUGACAGCAGAGUCCAACAUGACAAGACUGCCACAGCCAAGGCUCCUGGGGUGGACAUCAGAGCAGUAGCUCCAAAGGCCAGGAAGCUGCCUGAGGCCCCUCUGGGCCUUGACCCCUGAUGGGAAGAGAAGGAAGAAUUAGACAGGCCCCUGAGGAAAGUGUUUGGAGUAGAAUCACUGAAGGAAAGUUGCUGCAGGCGAGAAACCUGACUCUGGCAUUGAUGUUCCUGCCACUGAACCAUGAGAUCUGAUUACUUCAUGUAGCUGGGAAGAACUCUUAAUAUUUGUACAUAUGUUCGCUCUUACACACACACACAUACUUCUAGCCCUAAAUAUACACACUAGAAUUAGCUGCCCUGAUGUAUAGAAACAUACCCUUACACAUGCAGAUUCUUACAUAAACACAAACAGAAUUAUUCAUGCACACAUUCCCCUUGAAUGCUUGUCAUAUUUGCCUACAAGCGUGUAUGUACACUUUUGCACAUAGCGCUGUACAACCUAGAGAUGCAAAUACCUCACCACACAUGCACGCAUGCAUAUGCAUUCGGUGAGCAUAUCCUCUUUAUGAUGCAUUCUGGCAGCUUCUAGGGCCCAAAUCCAAUAUUUCUUCCUCAGAGGGGUUAGAAUCAUCCUCAUAAAUACGCUUUAAGUGCAGCAAUGGCCUGAUCCACAGAUCCUGAUGCCAGCAAUUCUCCAGCUCCUUCGUAAAAAAAUUUAGAGGAAAUGUCCAAAAAUGUACCAAACAGGAUUUAUGUUAGCUCAUGGAAGGGACUUCCUGCCAAUAAGAGCUAUUAAAAAUAUCAGCACAUUCGACUUCUGUUCAUUGAGGAAUAUUCAGGUGCCAGAAAUCUGAACCAAUUGGAAUAUUAAUUUUGCUUCAGAAAAUAGUUAUAUGCUUUGAAUCAAUAGAUUUUUAAACAAUAUAACAGACUAGUUGUAAAUCAGAGGAAUUUAUUAUAAUUUGGGGAUCUGAAGACAUUUUAGCCUAAAAGGCAAUUAAUAUAAAAAUUUGUUUAGUUUAAAUUUAACCAAUGAGCAUAAUUACAGAAGUUUUUGGACUAGAGUUUGGGUCCUGUUCAAACCUCUUCUCUUUCAUGACCAAAAUCACAUGCAUGAGAAAAGUAGCAAAGGGUCCUUUAAAACCAAUCCAGUCCAUGUUCCUUCUCCUCUGAGAAGUCCUCUUGUUUCUUCCCUGAUGAGACUUGAGAGAGGACUCGGUAUGCACAGGGUAGCCUGCCACCCAGAGCUUGCUGAAGAUCGGGGCUGCUGGGAAUACUGGUGACUUUCUCCAGGACUCACCUUCAGAAGGAAGCCACCUCUCCACGGUUAUGCCUGGUCUCCAGGGGCAGCGUGCCUGUGAUAAUUGGCUGAUAUGAGGUCUGCCAUUUUGGGGACUACAACUAUUCUGCUCCCAAGCUUCCUGCAGGGACAGCCGAGGCCUCUGUCAUGACUGUACCACAGCACAACUCUGGCUUUCCUCUCACCCUGCUCAGUGUUGUUCCUGAGGGUGCUGCAGACCCUGGCAAAUUGUCUGCACCCUCUUCUCACAGACGAAGAAACCGUCUCAAGAACAACUAUCCAGAGCAGCAUCUUGGUUCUGUGUGCCCUUGUUCUGGUGUCUUCCUGACUCUGUCUCACAGCCCAUACCCAAACAUAAGCAAAGGUAUUAAAGACAGAUUCCAAAUCAAAUCAGCCCUCAUCAUUUCCACGGCUAUGGCUCUGUAGAAGCCAUGGUUACCUCUGCCCUGGCCAUCAGCGGCGGUGUCCACACUGGCCGCCAUACUUCACUCUUGGUCUCUGGAGUCUCAUCUCCAUAGUGAUGAGACUGAUUCUGUCAUAACAUAAUUUAGUCACAGUAUUUCUUCGCUCAGACUCUUUCAGUGAAUUCUUACUGCAUUAAAAAUGAUCCAAAGCCCUUAGUACAUCUACUGGGCCUUGGUCCUGUAUGACCAGUCACUCUCCUCCCUCCUAGACCUUCCUCUUUUGCCUGUUCCUCCACCAUUUAUUUUCCUCCUGCCACUCCAUGGAUACUGUGCCUGCAUCAGUCUUUGCCCUUGAUUCCCCACCUCCCUGGUAGACAGAGACAGCUUUCUCACUUCUGU
Long non-coding RNA from Chinchilla lanigera (long-tailed chinchilla), 3432 nucleotides. The record is from Ensembl. NCBI's taxonomy places the organism in Eukaryota, Metazoa, Chordata, Mammalia, Rodentia, Chinchillidae.